GUGGGGAAUUUUGGACAAUGGGCGCAAGCCUGAUCCAGCAAUGCCGCGUGCAGGAAGAAGGCCUUCGGGUUGUAAACUGCUUUUGUACGGAACGAAACGGUCCUGGUUAAUACCUGGGGCUAAUGACGGUACCGUAAGAAUAAGCACCGGCUAACUACGUGCCAGCAGCCGCGGUAAUACGUAGGGUGCGAGCGUUAAUCGGAAUUACUGGGCGUAAAGCGUGCGCAGGCGGUGCUGUAAGACAGGCGUGAAAUCCCCGGGCUCAACCUGGGAAUUGCGCUUGUGACUGGAGUGCUGGAGUACGGCAGAGGGGGAUGGAAUUCCGCGUGUAGCAGUGAAAUGCGUAGAUAUGCGGAGGAACACCGAUGGCGAAGGCAGUCCCCUGGGCCUGUACUGACGCUCAUGCACGAAAGCGUGGGGAGCAAACAGGAUUAGAAACCCGUGUAGUCC
This 450-nucleotide ribosomal RNA is filed under the name uncultured bacterium. Its description in RNAcentral is "partial 16S ribosomal RNA". It matches the Rfam family "Bacterial small subunit ribosomal RNA", at positions 354 to 796 of the family's 1533-position model. The record is from RNAcentral.